This is a long non-coding RNA of Zophobas morio, 963 nucleotides long. RefSeq lists it as uncharacterized. NCBI's taxonomy places the organism in Eukaryota, Metazoa, Arthropoda, Insecta, Coleoptera, Tenebrionidae. The transcript is spliced from 2 exons. The record is from RefSeq and is a predicted model, not a curated record.
CCGAGUAAACAAAUUACCAUUAUCAUUGUUGCUACGACUCAGUGAUAGUGAUGACUCCACAAAUAUCCAUUAUUAUUUAUUUGUGUUAUAAUUAAAAUUUUUCCGCGUUUCCAGGAAGUCCGGCAUGGAUCUCCCGAGAACCUCGACCCCCAUGCCCUGCCGGUGCAUGGUUAGAAUUUCGGCACAAUGUGGCCCGAAUUGCGCCUGUUGCAGGGAAUACAGGAGAUUCAUGGAAAACCACCGGGAGCCCAAAAAUUUGCGGAAAGUGUACCGAGUCAAAGGGGUCGAAAAGGCGGCCUGCUGCGACAUCGUGGCUGGACAUGUCCUCUUCAAGUGCUCGCGGAAAUUCCUAAGCAUGAAGGACUUUUUGGCAAAACUGCGACGGAAGUUUAAAAGGAACAAAACGUCACGGGAUAUAUUGGAAAGUGUAUUAUAGGUGUAAACAUUUUUUGUGUAUAUUUCUAAAUAAAUAAAACUCUUGUGUCAGUUGCAAAAUCAACCCUGAGUACUGUAAUAGAGGGUUGCAGAACAAUGGUACCGCACGUGGUACUAUUAUCACCGGACUACGCACUCUCCGUUCCGUCAAGUCAAAGAAUUCGCAAUGGAGCUUACUAGGAGAAGUUCGACCCCGCUGCCCCCAGAAAUUCGACAAAGGGUUCCGUCUCCGUGCCCAAAGUGCGAUAGAGGUUACAAAAAAUUUGUCGACGGAAUUCGAAAACCGAUAAGUCUGAAACGGGUAUACGUCAAGGGUGGCAAAAGCCUCUUCUACAAGGGGGUAAUUUCAGGACAUUUGAUAUUCGAAAAUCACAAAACAUUCACGGACUUGGAAAGGUUUGACGCUUAUGUAAAUAGGAUUAUUGCUCAGUCUGAGAAUAUGUAACUUGUUAGUGCCAGUUGAGUGCCGUUGCUUUUUAAUUUUUGUACAUACGUAGUUUUUAAAUAGAUUUUAUUUUGCAUGUUUUA